RNAcentral lists this ribosomal RNA (500 nucleotides) under uncultured Lachnospiraceae bacterium. RNAcentral's name for it is "bacterial SSU rRNA". It matches the Rfam family "Bacterial small subunit ribosomal RNA", at positions 1 to 507 of the family's 1533-position model. Lineage: Bacteria; Bacillati; Bacillota; Clostridia; Lachnospirales; Lachnospiraceae. The record is from RNAcentral.
CGUAGAGUUUGAUCCUGGCUCACGAUGAACGCUGGCGGCGUGCCUAACACAUGCAAGUCGAGCGAAGCGCUUGAAUACGAUCUUCGGAUGAAGAUCUUGCGACUGAGCGGCGGACGGGUGAGUAACGCGUGGGCAACCUGCCUUACACAGGGGGAUAACAGUUAGAAAUGACUGCUAAUACCGCAUAAGACCACAAAACUGCAUGGUUUUGUGGUAAAAACUCCGGUGGUGUAAGAUGGGCCCGCGUCUGAUUAGGUAGUUGGUGGGGUAACGGCCCACCAAGCCGACGAUCAGUAGCCGACCUGAGAGGGUGACCGGCCACAUUGGGACUGAGACACGGCCCAGACUCCUACGGGAGGCAGCAGUGGGGAAUAUUGCACAAUGGGGGAAACCCUGAUGCAGCGACGCCGCGUGAGCGAUGAAGUAUUUCGGUAUGUAAAGCUCUAUCAGCAGGGAAGAAGAUGACGGUACCUGACUAAGAAGCCCCGGCUAACUACGUG